UAAAACGCUCUUUUAAAACUAAAACGCACUAGUGUAAACAGGGCCUAAGCUAAGCAGGGCUUAGCCUGGUCACUACCUGAAUGCGAGACCACAUGGGAAAAACUAGGUUACUGUUGGAA
This 119-nucleotide ribosomal RNA is filed under the name Danio rerio (zebrafish). Lineage: Eukaryota; Metazoa; Chordata; Actinopteri; Cypriniformes; Danionidae. The record is from RNAcentral.